GCCGGUGUAGCUCAGCUGGUAGAGCAGCGCAUUCGUAAUGCGAAGGUCGGAUGUUCGAAUCCUCUCACCGGCACCA
Molecule: transfer RNA, 76 nt
Filed under: Duodenibacillus sp.
Lineage: Bacteria; Pseudomonadati; Pseudomonadota; Betaproteobacteria; Burkholderiales; Sutterellaceae
Also listed under: 6 other names
Description: tRNA-Thr
Rfam family: tRNA
About the family: Transfer RNA (tRNA) molecules are approximately 80 nucleotides in length. Their secondary structure includes four short double-helical elements and three loops (D, anti-codon, and T loops).
Source: RNAcentral